Non-coding RNA from Podarcis lilfordi (Lilford's wall lizard), 311 nucleotides. Lineage: Eukaryota; Metazoa; Chordata; Lepidosauria; Squamata; Lacertidae. The record is from the annotation of a GenBank genome assembly.
CUGGGGGGGGGGCGCUCGCACUCGCAGCUCUCUGCCCCUACCUGGCUCACUCACUCUCUCUCACUGCAGUGCUGGCUGGGCGAAUCCGAUCCGAGCCGCUGGGUCGCCGCCCACUGUGGAGGGGGGGGGUGCCAGGCGUGCGGUGCGGAGAGAGAGCGAGGGACUAUCUGGGGGAGGGACAGUGCAGCGGCCGCCCAGCGCAGCGCUGAGCGCGGGAGAGAACCACACCAGACCAGACCAGGCAGCAGCAAGAAGAAGCUGGCAGUGGCGGCAGGUUAGGGGUUAGGGGGCACAAAUUACUUGCCUUGCCC